RNAcentral lists this ribosomal RNA (497 nucleotides) under uncultured bacterium. Its description in RNAcentral is "partial 16S ribosomal RNA". It matches the Rfam family "Bacterial small subunit ribosomal RNA", at positions 28 to 507 of the family's 1533-position model. The record is from RNAcentral.
GAUGAACGCUGGCGGCGUGCCUAAUACAUGCAAGUCGAGCGAACAGACGAGGAGCUUGCUCCUCUGACGUUAGCGGCGGACGGGUGAGUAACACGUGGAUAACCUACCUAUAAGACUGGGAUAACUUCGGGAAACCGGAGCUAAUACCGGAUAAUAUAUUGAACCGCAUGGUUCAAUAGUGAAAGACGGUUUUGCUGUCACUUAUAGAUGGAUCCGCGCCGCAUUAGCUAGUUGGUAAGGUAACGGCUUACCAAGGCAACGAUGCGUAGCCGACCUGAGAGGGUGAGAGGCAACAGUGGAACAGAAACCGGGCCAAGCCACCGACGGGGGGAGCAAGGGGGAAUUCUUCCGAAAGGGGAAAAGGACUGAAGGAGAACGGCGGGGGGAGUAAGAAAGGUCUAGGAAACAAAAAACUUUGUUAUAAGGGAAAAAAAAAUGGGAAAAAAAAAAGGAACGUUUUAACGAUACAAAAUAAGAAAACAACGGAAAACUACGUG